This 616-nucleotide long non-coding RNA is filed under the name Malus domestica (apple). Its description in RNAcentral is "long non-coding RNA (MDOM_LNC019456)". The record is from RNAcentral. Lineage: Eukaryota; Viridiplantae; Streptophyta; Magnoliopsida; Rosales; Rosaceae.
UUAAGCAUAUAUGGUAUUAUUAUCUCCUUAAAAAUAUUGUUUAAUUCAAUAUCCGAUUAUCAUUUUGACCGUUCUUCUUCUUCUAUUACGAUUUUAUCCAUCAUAACACACAUGAUAACUUGGAGAGAUUUUUAAAAAUCUAUCCGGAACAAUGUUUGGUGCAACAAAAUGUAAUAACUCAAUUAGUUGGAAAUUAAAAAAAAAAUCCAUGAAUUGCAUUGUAACAUUUGGUGUAAUGUUGUUUGUAUGUUAUGCUAGACCUAUUAUAUCAGAAAGAUCAAUCAAUUCGAGAGUUUUCAUUGUUCCUUUUCAAUCUCUCUCUCUCUCUCUUGUUUCUCUUUAUAUCAUCUUCUUUUGAACUAAUCAUUCAUCUUUUGCAAUGUAGUUAAUAGUUCCACCAGAUAGACCGUGUGUACUAAAUUCCAUCUUCUAGUUUUAGGUUUGGUAUGUGAUCGAGGGCUUGGUCUUGGAGACUUGUUAGGAGAACUCAACAAAUUCUUCUCACAUUUAGGUAAGACAUUAGCUGGCAUCAAGGAGGAGUGUUCUGUGUGCCCAUUUCAAAGGAAGUGUUCAGUGUGCCAGGAAAACGGCAUGGUAUACCAAGUGUUACAAUACA